This 794-nucleotide ribosomal RNA is filed under the name uncultured bacterium. Its description in RNAcentral is "bacterial SSU rRNA". It matches the Rfam family "Bacterial small subunit ribosomal RNA", at positions 57 to 843 of the family's 1533-position model. The record is from RNAcentral.
GCAAGUCGAGGGGCAGCAUGAUUGAAGCUUGCUUCAAUUGAUGGCGACCGGCGCACGGGUGAGUAACGCGUAUCCAACCUUCCGUACACUCAGGGAUAGCCUUUCGAAAGAAAGAUUAAUACCCGAUGGUAUGAUGAGAUUGCAUGAUAGCAUCAUUAAAGAUUUAUCGGUGUACGAUGGGGAUGCGUUCCAUUAGGUAGUAGGCGGGGUAACGGCCCACCUAGCCGACGAUGGAUAGGGGUUCUGAGAGGAAGGUCCCCCACAUUGGAACUGAGACACGGUCCAAACUCCUACGGGAGGCAGCAGUGAGGAAUAUUGGUCAAUGGACGAGAGUCUGAACCAGCCAAGUAGCGUGAAGGAUGAAGGUCCUACGGAUUGUAAACUUCUUUUAUAAGGGAAUAAAACCUCCCACGUGUGGGAGCUUGUAUGUACCUUAUGAAUAAGCAUCGGCUAACUCCGUGCCAGCAGCCGCGGUAAUACGGAGGAUGCGAGCGUUAUCCGGAUUUAUUGGGUUUAAAGGGAGCGCAGACGGGUCGUUAAGUCAGCUGUGAAAGUUUGGGGCUCAACCUUAAAAUUGCAGUUGAUACUGGCGUCCUUGAGUGCGGUUGAGGUGUGCGGAAUUCGUGGUGUAGCGGUGAAAUGCUUAGAUAUCACGAAGAACUCCGAUUGCGAAGGCAGCACACUAAGCCGUAACUGACGUUCAUGCUCGAAAGUGUGGGUAUCAAACAGGAUUAGAUACCCUGGUAAUCCACACGGUAAACGAUGGAUACUCGCUGUUGGCGAUAUACAGUCAG